UUUAAUUUGGAGUCAUACUACCCAUAUCUCCUUUGAGUUAUCAUAUAUUGUUGCUCCUAUUACUAUUGUUUGCUGUUCUAAUUUAUUUGCAAUAUAUUACUGAUUUAUUACUAUUAUUAUUAUUAUUAUUAUUAUUAUUAUUAUUAUUAUUAUUAUUUUGUUUGUUUGUUACAUUUAUUUGUUGAGUUUUAGUUUAAGCUGUCUCUAUCAAAUAAUUAUGUGAGGUCAUGUCCUUCUGAUUUAGGGGCGGGCAGGCAUAGGGGGGUUAAUGCUAGAGUAAAGAGAACCUUUAGGCUUAGAUUCGGGAGUUGGAAUGUAGGCACCCUUAAGGGAAAGUUUUUAGAGCUAGGAGAUGCCCUGUCUAGAUGUAAUGUAGACAUUGCAUGCUUUCAAGAAACUAGGUGGACGGGGAAAAGUACUAGAGAGGAGAACGGAUACAAGCUAUGGUACUCUGGAGUGCCUAAGUCGAUUAACGGAGUAGGGAUCAUCAUGACCGAACGACUUAAAGAUUUCAUUGUGCAAGUGGAAAGACACGGGGAUAGGUUGAUGUUGGUGAGAUUGGUGAUACAAGAGGAGACAAUAAACGUGAUCAGCGCGUAUGCUCCCCAGUCGGGCCAGAGAGCGGGAGAGAAGAAAAGUUUUUGGGACUUUCUCGAUGAACUUGUGAGGAGUUGCCCUGUUGACCAACGACUAGUGUUAGGAGGAGACUUAAACGGGCAUAUAGGAGUAGAGUCAGACGGCUACGCGGGUGUACACGGCUACGCGGGUGUACACGAGGGAUUAGGCUUUGGAGUGAGGAACGAUGAGGGUCGCACGAUAUUGGAGUUUGCUACUCCACAUGAUCUGGUUAUUGCAAACUCGUUUUUCCGAAAGAGGAAUUUUCAGCUGAUUACCUUUCAAAGUGGCCUAAAUAAGACUCAAAUCGACUACUUCUUGGUGCGUAAAGGCGACUUUAGGGCUUGCAAAGAUUGCAAGGUACUUCCGAGAGAGGCGGGCUACUCCUAACAUAGACUGUUGGUAAUAGAUUUGUUCCUGAGUAGAAGUAAAAUGAAGACAGGGAAGGCUGUAAAGCCAAGAAUCCUCUGGAAAAACCUAAUGGGUGAAGCAGCAGAGACGUUUAGGUCGACGAUUAGCUCGAGGUUCACAAGGGAGAUAAAGAACGGUUCGCAUAUGGGAGCUGACGAGUUAUGGACACUCUUGGCAGAGGGUAUGAGGGAGACGGCAAAGGAGGUUCUAGGGGUAACUAGAGGAACUGGACGACAAUGGAGAAUGGGUAGGGAAUCUUGGUGGAUUAGUGAAGAGGUCCAGUCCAAGGUCGCGGCAAAACUUAGUUGCUUUAAGGAUCUUGUCUAAAGCCGCCAGAACGGGACAAAUGAAGACUGGUCUUUGGCUAGGCAGAGGUACUACGAAGCCAAGAAAGAAGCAAAGAGGACGGUUGCUAUAGCAAAAGAAAGAGCGUACGAAGAAUUGUACAAGAAACUAGAUUCCAAAGAAGGCGAAAACAAAAUCUUCAGAAUCGCUAAAGCAAGGGAGAAAAGACGUAGGGAUUUAGGAGAUGUCAUUUAUAUCAAAGACGAAAGUGGACGGAGCAUUGUGAAGGAGGGAGACAUUAGGAAAAGAUGGGAAGAGUACUUCGCCAACCUGUUUAAUGGGAGAAGGUCGGGGAGAGUUCAAGGAGGAGAAGACCUCACCGCACACUCAAACACACGCUACGACGACGAUGAUGCUACGAGGAUCAGCCAAGAAGAAGUAAGGGUCCCCCUAAAGAAGAUGGGGAGAAACAAAGCAGUAGGUCCAAACCGAAUUCCGGUUAAGGCAUGGAGAUGCCUGGGGGACGUGGGGAUAAGCUUGCUGACAAGCCUCUUCAACAAGAUUUGGACGAGUGCAAAAAUGCCAGAAGAAUGGAGACUUAGUGAGGUUAUACCUAUCUAUAAGAACAAGGGGGACGUGCAGAGUUGUAGCAACUAUAGGGGCAUUAAACUCCUUAGUCAUACCAUGAAGCUCUGGGAGAGAGUGAUCGAGACGAGGCUCAGAAGAGUUACGAAGGUGGCAGAGAACCAAUUUGGGUUUAUGCCAGGGAGGUCGUCGAUGGAGGCUAUCCAUAUCACCAGAAGCCUUAUGGAAAAGUAUAGGGAAAGACAAAAAGCGUUACAUUGUGCCUUCCUAGAUUUGGAUAAGGCGUACGAUAGUGUACCACGAGAGCUGAUCUGGAGGACGCUCCAAGCGAAAGGAGUUACUGGGAGAUACAUUAGUGUUAUCAGGGAUAUGUACGAUAGGGCGAGGACCGGUGUCCGAACACCGGUGGGGAGCACAGAGCUUUUCUCGGUAGAAUUGGGCCUUCACCAGGGCUCGGCGCUUAGUCCUUACCUUUUUACCUUGAUCUUAGACGAGUUGUCUAGUGGCCUACAGGAGGAACUACCGUGGUGCAUGAUUUUUGUAGAUGACAUUGCACUGAUUGCAAGAUCGACGGAGGAGUUAAACCGUAGGCUCGAGAAAUGGAGAGAAGCCCUUGAAGACAAUGGUUUGUGUGUGAGCCGAGAGAAGACUGAAUACCUACGAUGUGACUUCGAUAAACAGGAAAUAAGAUAAAAUGGGGAUGAGGAUAUUCGCAUCGGGGAGCGGAUAUUGGGUCCGAAGGUGUCUUUUAGAUACCUCGGAUCGGUGAUACACAAAUCGGGGGGGAUAGACGAAGACGUGACACAUCGAAUCCAAGCUGGAUGGAUGAGGUGGAGAUCAGCUUCUGGAGUCAUGUGCGACAAGCGGAUCUCGCUAAAACUGAAAGGCAAGUUUUACAGAGUGGCUAUUAGACCGACUAUGUUAUACGGGUCGGAAUGUUGGCCGAUGACGAAAGCCCAAGCGUCUCAAGUAGAGGUGGCAGAGAUGAGGAUGCUAAGGUGGUCUUGUGGGAAGACCCUAUCAGACAGGAUCCCCACGGGAGUUUUUAGAGCCGAACUUGAAGUAGGGACCAUCAUUAACAAGCUAAGAGAAGGGCGCUUGAGAUGGUUUGGCCAUGUUAGGAGAAGGGAUCGAACAGCACCAUUAAGGAGAGCGGAGUCUAUUCACGUCGAAGGCAUACGAAGAAGGGGAAGGCCGAAGAUGAGAUGGGAGGACCGAUUGGCGAAGGACCUAAUAGAGCUUGGUUUGUCGGAGGACAUGACGUCGGAUAGGACGGCCUGGAGAACUAGGAUUAGAGUAGAGGAUUAGGUUAGGGUAUGACUUUUGUGGGACUGCGAUUGACAUCUUUUUCCCAUAGUGCCUUGCCUAAGGUGGUUUGUGUUUGUUUGGCCGGGAGAAGUAGGCCCAAUAUAAGUGACUCUAGACAACAGAAGGCUUUGGGCUGACAGGAAAAGAGGUAGGUCGACGGAGGUGGAAGGUCAGAAUACCGAAGGAUAUGAAGGAGUUUUCUGGUGGAGGAGGUGGAUAGUGAGUGUAAGGCAUAUGGGAAUAGGUUUUUGUAUACUUUUUUUUCCUUAGACUUUGGUUCUCAGUAACCUCCGUAGUGGUUUUGACCUGAGUAGAGGGAGGCCAAAAUCGAGGGGGGAGGUUACUCUUGGCUGCCCCUAAAUGCUUUGCCCGUUGGAGGACAUGACCGAUGAGAGUUUAUUAGAGGACUAGGACUAGUUUAGGGGUUUGGGAGCUUGGGAGAAGGCUAGGUUUAGUCUAAGUUAAUGUCUAGCUAGGCGGCUUAGUUAGUGUGUUUCAUAGGUUGCGCACCACCCGUUAUUUUCCUUGGACUUAUCGGGCACUAGGUUUUCUUAGUUCAUUCCCUAUAUGUAGGUAGGUUUGGGAUUUAUGCUGAAACACUUUUAAAUUUGUCUACGUUAUACAUGGUUGUUAUUAUAUGUGUUUUGAUGAGUGCUUUUAGUUACACUUUUAGGGCGUUUGACGCUACUUUUCUUUUAUGUUCUCGGGUGUUCUCAGUAGACGGUGUCUAGAGGACUAGGUGUAUAGGUUACCUGUGUCGUUUUGGAGCGUUUUAGCGAGUAGACUAGGAUUAGUUUGGCUUUGCGGCCCUUAGUGUUUAGUCAUUUCUUACAUAUAGGUAUGGUUGUCCUGGUGGUUUGUACCUCUUGUUUGAGAUCCUUGCUGAAGACUUUGUGUAUUAUGUUCUUUCAUUUUAUGUUGUUUUUUGCGUAUUAUGGUUCCUAGAUUUUACGUACUGUGCUUAGGUACUUUUAGGCCGUACGUUUGCUACUAUUCCCUACUCUUAAUAUAGCCAUACCCAGCGGACAUGUAUAUCGUCUUGGCAUUUUCUCGGCAGACAG
RNA transcript from Erigeron canadensis, 4265 nucleotides. It is a transcript of the gene named trafficking protein particle complex subunit 4, with no coding region annotated. The record is from RefSeq and is a predicted model, not a curated record. NCBI's taxonomy places the organism in Eukaryota, Viridiplantae, Streptophyta, Magnoliopsida, Asterales, Asteraceae. The transcript is spliced from 2 exons.